CACGUUACGGACAGGUCCUAGACCUGCUGCGAAGCAAUCUGCGUCUCUGCAGUUUCUUCGAAGUGCAUACUCACAUUGCAAUAUGGAGAUCUGGAACUUCUUUCACCCGGAUCUUCACCUUUCCUGUCCUACAAUCUGAGCCCAGAGCCUGUUGCACUUCGAUGGCAUACUAUACGUAUCGGUGCAACUAAUUUAACUGGCACGUGCAAUACUGCUGUGAACGAUUCCGUAGCUACUCAAACCGGAUUUCUGUUCACCACAUUUGAGCAGAAUUGAUAAAAGUUUUUACUACCUACAAUAAAGUCUCCUCGUCUGGCUGGUCACCAACCACAAGCAUAAAGUGAAAAAUCUCGAGCACUAUUUUUCGUGGGAGUAUCGAAGGAGCAUUGUAUCGACUUCUCAUCGUACUACAUCUUCUACAUUCAACCUACUACACAGCUAUAGUCAUCAGGGAGGCAGAGACAUCCAGGUAAAAUCCAAGACCCCUGAGCUUGGGAACCAGCUCAGGUCUGGUCUUGGUACUGGCAACGAUGGUGAGCGCAGUUAAAGUUCCUCGACUUCUCUGCCAGCUCACGCGAUGGUGAACGCUGGCGUUGGAGUCGUUGUAAUUUAUAAUAUCUCCCCUCCUCUCUCUCCCUCUUAUCACAUGGCGUGGCGGUACCCUGGAUUUUGAUUUUAUUAGAUCAGGUAAUUGUAGGGUUGGUUGUUGUUGAGCAUAGCGCACCUGCACCCUGUAGCGUCAAACAUAUGAAACUUUUUUCUUCAAAUUAAGUACUCAAAAAAUCAAUGGACUGGGCAGUCAGUCGAUUAUUAGUUCAAACAUGAGGUCAGUGAAAAAAUCAAUGAAUGAUUUAGUGUGUCAGUCAGUUUAUUAAUUAAUCAGUUAUUUGAGAAAUCAGUUAACAAUUAAUUCAUUAGAUGUGAACUAUUCGAAUGAAUCACAUCUUUGAUAAAUUCAAGUGCAAGAGUGUGCAGCUCAUAGGCAACGGUACAGACCGUCGUUCAAUCGACUCGCGCGUUUUCUAAUUGUUCUAUAAUUUUCGGUGAUCGAUCUCGCUUGCGUUGAUCACUGAUUGGUAAUAAAAUUUGGUCGUGCGAAUGAUGGUCCUUACCAUAGAUCCAGCUUUUUCAGGUACAUCAGGAAUUGACUUGGAUAGCUUCCGCGAAAAGUCAGAAUUCAUUUAGUCUCAAUUUAAUGAUCAGCCAUCAGCUGAAUCAAUUUUGAAUUUGAUCUCUAUAUUUUUUUAUCUAUUUGCAUGUUUAAAAUUUCAAUUCUUUCAACUCAAUUUUGAUCCAACUUGAACCCGUCUUUAGGUACCGAUAAGUAAAUUCACUAGAACUAUAACAGGAUGUCUAAUCAUUUCAGGAAUUUUCUUCCCUUACACACAAUUUUCAGCCCUUAACUUUUUCUUGCUUAAUGAAUAUUAUAUGAGAUUAAUUAAUCUCAUUUUCUUACUGAUGAUAUUUACUCAAGAGUAAAUUUGCUAAAUUCAUUUAAAGAUCAUUGAUGUUUUUUAAAUUUCGGCCAGAAAACAAACACACCUUUUCUCAAAAUUUAAAUAAAUCACGGCUUCGGCCGGGGCAUGGGCAGCCUUUAUAUUUCUACACACACAACAGGUCAACAGUAAGUUUUUUGAACGAGAUACCACGGCAAUGAAUGUGAGAUGUGAGUGAGACGAAAUUAUCGGUGCGCCGGCGCAAGUAUGAAUUGGGGUUUUCGUCAGUAAAAUCAUUUCUUGGAUAAUUAUAGGUGAAAGGCAGGUAUAGGUAAAUUCAUGCAUCGCGAGGGCAUUUAUAAGCAGUGUGUAUGUGAAUAAUAGUUUUAACCGUUGGGUGGGAUGUGGGCUCCACAAAAUGGGUAGGCAAGAAAUCGGAAGCGCAACUUUUCUUUCCACAGCAAUUCCAAGUGAUCAAUUGAGUAGAAUUCCGAUCAAAUUCCGUUAAUCAAUUUUAUGUAACAUUUAACUCCAUAUUUUUCAAAUAAUUCUUUUUAUGUGGUCUUUUAGGUCUCUUUGCUGAGAUCUGAUAGACACUUUUCCUUCCCAACUAAAUAAAUUAAAUUAGAUUGAGUUUUUUGAUUCCCUGUAAUAUUUGUGGUCACUUGGAAUGGGCAAAAUGCGUUCGCCUUGCUCUCCGUACCAGCCGUGGUGCAUGGAAGUGAGGUGGACGUUGAGCUCGAAGACGUCGCGUCGAAGAGGACCACCGACCGCCACGCCACAAAUUUUCAAACCUUCCCCCUUUCCACUCCCCAAUGUUAAUUGGAAUAGAAGGAUGCGAUUAAAAAUUGCAUUUCUUCGAUUUCCAUUAGCAUAAUUAUUCCAAGUCUGACGCUGCUCGCGCGGGUACAUAGCGCGCGGACGAGGAAUCGCAUGUUAUUUGUUGAUAUAUGUUAUUUCUUGUACGCCCGAUUGGGCCAUUUUUAAAACAAUAACUAGCGUGACUUGCCAUCUUGCAAGGCGCUUUAAAAACUUUGAGAGAUUUUCUUUCAGGAAUUUAAAGUAAAAUAAAAACCCAAGUUUCGUCGCUGCUGCUCGUAUGCGCGCGGACUUGGCACUUAAAACAUAAAUGUCAACGCUUCAUGCGUUUUAAACCCAAAAACCGAAAAAUUGUAAGGAAUCUAGUAUUAUCGCACCUUUUUGUGCGUGGUACUUGACUUCCACGGGAUUAUUUGUAAGAUACUAAUCAAAAUUUUACCUUUCAGAUUAUCAAUGUUAAUAAAAUUUUCUUACAGCUCCUAAUCAAUAUUUUUUAUUUUCAGUUUUCAUACUAAUUUCAAUUUCCUUACAGGUGUUAGGUUUUAGUUUUUAAGUCCAUUGCUAAUCAGAUGUUGUUCACAGGCUGUCUC
This is a long non-coding RNA of Athalia rosae (coleseed sawfly), 2845 nucleotides long. RefSeq lists it as uncharacterized. Lineage: Eukaryota; Metazoa; Arthropoda; Insecta; Hymenoptera; Athaliidae. The record is from RefSeq and is a predicted model, not a curated record. The transcript has 4 exons.